RNAcentral lists this ribosomal RNA (573 nucleotides) under Taphrina flavorubra. RNAcentral describes it as "eukaryotic LSU rRNA". It matches the Rfam family "Eukaryotic large subunit ribosomal RNA", at positions 62 to 648 of the family's 3401-position model. Lineage: Eukaryota; Fungi; Ascomycota; Taphrinomycetes; Taphrinales; Taphrinaceae. The record is from RNAcentral.
AAACUAACUAGGAUGCCUUCAGUAACGGCGAGCGAAGCAGGCAUAGCUCAAAUUUGUAAUCUGGCGCCUUUGGCGUCCGAGUUGUAUUUUCUAGAAGCGAGUUCGGCGACAGCUCCUACCCAAGUCCGUUGGAACGCGGCGUCAUGGAGGGUGAGAAUCCCGUGAAUGGUAGGAUGUCUGCUGCUAUGUGAACCGCCUUCGAAGAGUCGAGUUGUUUGGGAAUGCAGCUCUAAAUGGGAGGUAAAUUUCUUCUAAAGCUAAAUAUUGGCCAGAGACCGAUAGCGAACAAGUAGAGUGAUCGAAAGAUGAAAAGAACUUUGAAAAGAGAGUUAAACAGUACGUGAAAUUGUUGAAAGGGAAGCGCUUGAGAUCAGACUUCCUGUCUGGACUGUCCUUGCUUUUGCUUGGGUCAACAGUCCAGGCGUGGAGGCCAGCAUCAGUUUUGACGGCCGGAUAAAGGCCUUGGGAAGGUAGCUCCUCUUGGGGAGUGUUAUAGCCCAGGGUGUAAUACGGCCAGUUGGGACUGAGGACCGCGGCUUUGCCUAGGAUGCUGGCGUAAUGGUCUUAAGCGAC